RNAcentral lists this non-coding RNA (642 nucleotides) under Cavia porcellus (domestic guinea pig). Its description in RNAcentral is "Eukaryotic large subunit ribosomal RNA". It matches the Rfam family "Eukaryotic large subunit ribosomal RNA", at positions 104 to 666 of the family's 3401-position model. Lineage: Eukaryota; Metazoa; Chordata; Mammalia; Rodentia; Caviidae. The record is from Rfam by way of RNAcentral.
UGAGUCAGCACCCAUCCUCCUCAGUAGGAAAGUUGCCAGGGACUGUUGGGGCCUGAGGCUGGCAGAGGCAAUGGGCAUUGUGCAAAGAGGAGGGCCCUUGGGAGGGACGGGAGCCAAGUGGUCAGCAGAACCCCUGCCCAUCUUAGUGAGAGCACUUAGGUCCAGGUCUUCCUGGAGUCCGGUUGCUUGCGAAUGCAGCCCAAAGCGGGUGGUAAACUCCAUCUAAGGCUAAAUACCAGCACGAGACCGAUAGUCAACAAGUACCCUAAGGGAAAGUUGAAAAGAACUUUGCAGAGAGCACUGAAAGGCUCUUUGUGUGGGCCCCAGGAGGAGUCCCUGAGGAGCCUUUACUGACCUUACUAGUAAAUAGCAGGUUAAUUUUGAUGACCUAAACACUCAACAGGAAAGUCUCGUCUAAGCAGAGAGUAAAAUAGUUAAUAGCAACGUAAAAAGUAGGGAAAGAUCUUUGUUUCUCCUUAAAAUUAAAAGAUAAAGGUAGCUGGGGAGAAACAGCAUAGAUACAGGCCACAGUAAAGACCAAGGACAGACUUCUGGCCUUUAACCUGUUACUUAUUAAAAGCACAAAUUUGUAUUUUUUCCCCUGAAACAAUCAGGAACUCUUCUGUCAGCCUCCAAAUGCCC